GAUGAACGCUGGCGGCGUGCCUAAUACAUGCAAGUCGAGCGAACGGACGAGGAGCUUGCUUCUCUGAUGUUAGCGGCGGACGGGUGAGUAACACGUGGAUAACCUACCUAUAAGACUGGGAUAACUUCGGGAAACCGGAGCUAAUACCGGAUAAUAUUUUGAACCGCAUGGUUCAAAAGUGAAAGACGGUCUUGCUGUCACUUAUAGAUGGAUCCGCGCUGCAUUAGCUAGUUGGUAAGGUAACGGCUUACCAAGGCAACGAUGCAUAGCCGACCUGAGAGGGUGAUCGGCCACACUGGAACUGAGACACGGUCCAGACUCCUACGGGAGGCAGCAGUAGGGAAUCUUCCGCGAUGGGCGAAAGCCUGACGGAGCAACGCCGCGUGAGUGAUGAAGGUCUUCGGAUCGUAAAACUCUGUUAUUAGGGAAGAACAUAUGUGUAAGUAACUGUGCACAUCUUGACGGUACCUAAUCAGAAAGCCACGGCUAACUACGUG
This 497-nucleotide ribosomal RNA is filed under the name uncultured bacterium. RNAcentral's name for it is "partial 16S ribosomal RNA". It matches the Rfam family "Bacterial small subunit ribosomal RNA", at positions 28 to 507 of the family's 1533-position model. The record is from RNAcentral.